UACGGGGGGGGCAAGCGUUGUUCGGAAUUACUGGGCGUAAAGGGCGCGUAGGCGGUUUGUUAAGUUGGAUGUGAAAACUCUGGGCUCAACCCAGAGCCUGCAUCCAAUACUGACAGGCUAGAGUUCUGGAGGGGAUAGCGGAAUUCCUGGUGUAGCGGUGAGAUGCGUAGAUAUCAGGAGGAACACCGGUGGCGAAGGCGGCUAUCUGGACAGAGUCUGACGCUGAGGCGCGAAAGCUAGGGGAGCAAACAGG
Molecule: ribosomal RNA, 253 nt
Filed under: uncultured bacterium
Lineage: Bacteria
Description: partial 16S ribosomal RNA
Rfam family: Bacterial small subunit ribosomal RNA
Source: RNAcentral